UCUUAGCCUGGUGUGGUAGGAAACCCAUACU
This 31-nucleotide non-coding RNA is filed under the name Mus musculus (house mouse). Lineage: Eukaryota; Metazoa; Chordata; Mammalia; Rodentia; Muridae. The record is from RNAcentral.